UGAAAUGAAUUAUGAUAAUGUCGAUAGAUUUAGGGGGCUUCCUUAAGGAAAAGGAAAAAAACCUCCACAGCAUUUUUCAAGGCAACAUUAGAAUAGAUAAGAGAUGGAAGCAGAGAUACACAAAACACUGAGUUGGAAGCGUCCCAUAAGGAUCUCUGGGUCCAAUCCCUUCAUGCAGCACUCUUGAAGGUCCGGGGCUGUGCUCCGCGGUUACAUAGGGAGCUGCCCUCACUUCAUGCUGCCGCUGGGUGAGGCAGAAAUAAGAAAUCUUGGGGGCACAGAACCGAGAGGAACCGCUUCCCCCCGCAGCACGUGGGGACCAUCACGCCUCACAGCAAAGCCGUCUAUUCGCCACUUCAGCAAAUGAGCGGCGGCGAAUCGAUAGCGGAUCAAUCCCGUUCGCGGUGUCACUCAGCGCACGGUGCCGCUGCACAAAAGCAGGAAGGUGGGAACCGAGCGCUCACUUCGCAGCGACCCGAGGCGAAGCGCACAACCUGAGCAUCCCUCCCGGUAGCAUCCCAGAUCUGCGGAGCGUGGGAGCUCGGGGACUGCCGGUAGGUGGGCUGCGGUUUGGGAGCGGCGGAACGAGCGUUUUGGGGACGGGACCCACCGGGAUGCGCUGCGAGACCCGCAUAGACGGCGGUAGCGCCGCUCCGCCCGCCCCGCCGGGAAGGUGCCGGGGAUGCCCGGAGCCGGGGUGGGGACUCGUCGGAGCCCGCCCGCCGCUUUCCCUCCCCCGGCAGCUCCUCCGGAGCGCGGCGGAGGCGGGCGGAGCGCGGCGGAGCCCCGCGGCCCCAGGUAGGCAGAGCCCAGCACGGUUCGGAUGGCUUCUCUGUGCGCUUUACGGGACGAGCGGCCGGCGUGGAGGAGAAGGAGGAGGAGGAGGAGGAGGAGGGAGGCUGCAGCUCCGUGCCGGGGAGCCCCGCUUCCAGCCGACUGACACCCGCAGCUCCCCGUCUCCCUCACGAAGAAGGCAGCCCCGGCGGUGGGCACCGCUCCGGCUCCGCGGAGGGGACGAGGUUCAAUGUAAUCUUAUUGGGCAC
RNAcentral lists this long non-coding RNA (1043 nucleotides) under Coturnix japonica (Japanese quail). Its description in RNAcentral is "lncRNA (ENSCJPG00005011120.1)". The record is from RNAcentral. Lineage: Eukaryota; Metazoa; Chordata; Aves; Galliformes; Phasianidae.